RNAcentral lists this ribosomal RNA (305 nucleotides) under uncultured bacterium. RNAcentral describes it as "bacterial SSU rRNA". It matches the Rfam family "Bacterial small subunit ribosomal RNA", at positions 338 to 660 of the family's 1533-position model. The record is from RNAcentral.
CCUACGGGGCGCAGCAGUGGGGAAUAUUGGACAAUGGGGGGAACCCUGAUCCAGCGACGCCGCGUGAGUGAAGAAGUAUUUCGGUAUGUAAAGCCCUAUCAGCAGGGAAGAAAAUGACGGUACCUGACUAAGAAGCCCCGGCUAACUACGUGCCAGCAGCCGCGGUAAUACAUAGGGAGCAAGCGUUAUCCGGAUUUAUUGGGUGUAAAGGGUGCGUAGACGGGAAAUUAAGUUAGUUGUGAAAUCCCUCGGCUUAACUGAGGAACUGCAACUAAAACUGAUUUUCUUGAGUACUGGAGAGGAAA